AUUGAACGCUGGCGGCAGGCUUAACACAUGCAAGUCGAACGCGUGGCGGACGGGUGAGUAAUGUCUGGGACACUGCCUGAUGGAGGGGGAUAACUACUGGACACGGUAGCUAAUACCGCAUACCCUCAAAUGUGCCCAGAUGGGAUUAGCUAGUUGGUGGGGUAGCUGCUCACCAAGGCGACGAUCCGUAGCUGGUCUGAGAGGAAGACCAGCCACACUGUAAUUGAGACACGGUCCAGACUCCUACGGGAGGCGGGAGUGGUGAAUAUUGCACAAUGGGCGCAAGCCUGAUCCAGCCAGGCCGCGUGGAUGAAGAAGGCCUGCGGGUUGGAAAGUACUUUCGGCGUUGAAGCGGUACCCGAAGAAUAAGCACCGGCUAACUCCGUGCCAGCAGCCGCGGUAAUUC
RNAcentral lists this ribosomal RNA (406 nucleotides) under uncultured bacterium. RNAcentral describes it as "partial 16S ribosomal RNA". It matches the Rfam family "Bacterial small subunit ribosomal RNA", at positions 30 to 526 of the family's 1533-position model. The record is from RNAcentral.